CAGCCGCCGCGGUAAUACCGGCGGCCCGAGUGGCGGUCACUAUUAUUGGGCUUAAAACGUCCGUAGCCGGGUUGGGAAGUCCUCCGGGAAAUCUGGCCGCUUAACGGUCAGAAUGCCGGAGGAUACUCCCAGCCUAGGGAGCGGGGGAGGCCGAGGGGAUUCCCGGAGUAGGGGGGAAAUCCUAUAAUCCCGGGAGGACCACCUGUGGCGAAGGCGCUCGGCUGGAACGCGUCCGACGGUGAGGGACGAAGGCCAGGGGAGCAAACCGGAUUAGAUACCCGGGUAGUCCUGGCUGUAAACGAUGCGGACUUUGUGUCGGACAAGCUAUGAGCUUGUCCGGUGCCGGAGGGAAACCGUUAAGUCCGCCGCCUGGGGAGUACGGCCGCAAGGCUGAAACUUAAAGGAAUUGGCGGG
This 414-nucleotide ribosomal RNA is filed under the name uncultured microorganism. Its description in RNAcentral is "bacterial SSU rRNA". It matches the Rfam family "Archaeal small subunit ribosomal RNA", at positions 459 to 872 of the family's 1478-position model. The record is from RNAcentral.